Long non-coding RNA from Athene cunicularia (burrowing owl), 973 nucleotides. RefSeq lists it as uncharacterized. NCBI's taxonomy places the organism in Eukaryota, Metazoa, Chordata, Aves, Strigiformes, Strigidae. The record is from RefSeq and is a predicted model, not a curated record. The transcript is spliced from 3 exons.
UGUGAGGAAAAAUUGGGAAGGGGGUGGGAAGGGACAUGUUGGAUGGGUUUUGUACCAACCUGGGUGAGGAGGAGACGCAGACUCUGAAAACUGGAUGCUGCCGCCGCCCCAAGAAACCUGACCAAACAGAAGGGGAGGAAUUGUAGGCACUGUAACACAGGGGAGCUUUUUUUUUUUCCUGCAUGCUGAGACGGGCAACAAGGCAGAGCCAUACCGCGGGCAUCAGAAGGUUACAGGUUCAACUUUUUUCAGUGCCCAGAAGCGGCUCAUCCUGCCAGCCCUCAACCUCUGGCCUCUCCAGGACAAGGUGUACCUUGUGCAGAUCCCACAGGUAACCUCCUGCACGCUGCCACUUUUCACUUUUCCCUGUGUGGGCACAAGAAGCGCCGUGUGAACUCACUGUGGGAAGGGAAAACAAAUUCCCCGCAGCCCUGGGAUGUCUGGCUGCCGUGGAGAGGCUGCUGCUGCCAGGGCUGGAGGGGAGGAGUGACCCAGCAUUUCCAGAGCCCAGCAGCUUUGUGCACUGUUCACUCGGCCUCUCUGCCUGUGCCUGAUCAGCUUUUUGUGCAAUCAGCUGCAACGAGGUACAGGAGGUGGGAGAUGAAAUCUGAAAACCAUCCAAAGCUCUAAUGUCAUGAACCAGGAAGAAAUAAUGAUUUACCAGCCUCUUUAUGCAAAUCUCUAGAGUGGCUGGAGCUAGAGGAGUCCUACAAAGACUGGAAGAGAGAGUGAGAGAGAGUAUUUGUGUGUGUGUGUGAAUGCACAGAGAUCUCCAUCCCCUCCUUUAGAAGGGGCUGGGAGCUGCUGGAAGCAUCACACCUCCGGUCCCUUCAUUUCCUGCCUGGUCUAACUGCACAAGGCUCCAGGGGUGUCCUAAUGCCAAGCUCCAUCUGGUGCUGCUGUUGAAUUUAUUGAAAUUCCCAUCACAUUCUCCACUCUUAGAACCUGAAAAUAAACGCGGGAAGCACUUCAU